RNAcentral lists this ribosomal RNA (440 nucleotides) under uncultured bacterium. RNAcentral describes it as "bacterial SSU rRNA". It matches the Rfam family "Bacterial small subunit ribosomal RNA", at positions 338 to 795 of the family's 1533-position model. The record is from RNAcentral.
CCUACGGGUGGCAGCAGUGGGGAAUAUUGCACAAUGGGGGAAACCCUGAUGCAGCAACGCCGCGUGAGCGAUGAAGGCCUUCGGGUCGUAAAGCUCUGUCCUAAGGGAAGAAUACUGACGGUACCUUAGGAGGAAGCCCCGGCUAACUACGUGCCAGCAGCCGCGGUAAUACGUAGGGGGCUAGCGUUAUCCGGAAUUACUGGGCGUAAAGGGUGCGUAGGCGGCCCUUCAAGUCAGAGGUGAAAGGCUACGGCUCAACCGAGGUCAGCUCUUGAAACUGUAGGGCUUGAGUGCAGGAGAGGGGAGCGGAAUUCCUAGUGUAGCGGUGAAAUGCGUAGAUAUUAGGGGGAACACCAGUGGCGAAGGCGGCUCUCUGGACUGCAACUGACGCUGAGGCACGAAAGCGUGGGGAGCGAACAGGAUUAGAUACCCUUGUAGUC